CCAGAAAGCUGGGGGAAAUUGCCCCGAAGAGGUGUUCUCCUUCCACUCCCCGGGUUCAAACUAUUUCUUCGAUCCGAAGCUCGAUAGAUCCAUAAACUCCGAUUGGCGGCACGACCCGGCGAAUGCACAACAGAAUUACGGCCUUGUGAGAGCACACAGACACGUGGAGAAGAUGCAAACUCAAUACAGGAAGCCCCGAGCUGAGAUUUGAACUGAGAACUUCAAAAAUGUGCUGUGGAUGUCCUAAUCACUUUGUGACCGUGUUACAAAAUACAUUCUGAAAACAGUUGGGGGGGAAAUAACCCAGUUGAAAAGGAAAUGACCACCAGUUGGGUCAAAUGAAUAACCCACGUUUUUUUUCUUGUCCCCCCCCCCCCAAAAAAAACGAAAAAAGUCUUUUACACAAUAAUUUAAAAUACAUCAGACCCACAAACAAUCAUAAUUAUGAUAAUGAUAAACAUCACGGUCUGGCCCUUGUAGGACUCCUGAUGAAAGACAAUUUUACAUGCUUUUUCUUGGGGGGGGGGGUAGGUUUUGAUGAAGAACGUGUGUGAAGUUGCAAAAUGCUCUCUUGUAAAUUUUUGUAUGACACUUAAAUCCCUAUUGUAGUCAUUCUCAGGACACACCCAUGGGAAUCCUGAGAGUUUGCAACCGUCACAAAGGGAUAUCCUUUUCAUUGACGUAUUCCGUUGACCUGGAUGGCUCCAAGCCAAUGAAAUACACUCAGUGAGAAAAUUGUUUUUCAUGAAUCAGGUUCUUCCCUUGUUAAGGAUUGGAAAUAGAUUAAACACAGAGCUAACAAGCACUACAGAGUAUACGGCACAUACAGAAUUUCUUUUUUUGAUUAAGUUUUUUGCUUAGAACAUUUUAUGUGGAUUUUUUUUAAAUGCUUCUGUUAUCAAUGUGAUGCUUCCACGAACAACAUGGCUGCAAGCAAAGGAGCUUGUUCACAAAAGUGCAGUCAGUGUUGCAAAAUUUGUGACUUUUCCUACCUCUCUCGUGACUAUUUUUCCCAUAAGUGACUAGCAUCUUAAAAAUGGAUGUACGAAUUUCUUCUAAGGUUGACUCACUACAGAGCAAAGUAUUGGCUGCAGCGCUGUGAAAUUUGAAUGCAUAACAAAUAAAAUAAAAUCAGUCAGCUUAUGAAAUGAGGCUUCAAAAUUCGAGAAAAUCAAGUCGUUCUCUCUGCUCUCAGGCAGAGAGGGUGUGCCCGCUGAAUGUGCUGAACCCACACUCAGCUCAAUAGUCAAUCACAUACUACUGCUAUGACUUGGAAAAACGCUACUUUGUUCAGCAUAUUUCUUAUGCCUACCCAUAAUUAUAUGUUUGAGCCACGAAAAUAUUGACAAGUGCUGGGCUUUUCCAGGCCAUAACAAUGAGUUGCUCGAAAGCAGGCACGGCAGCGUAAAUUACCAGUCCUCAUGUUGGCUAUCACGUCGGACCUAAACAUUGUUUUCACCUUGCUUUGCCGCUUUCUCUACAUAAAGUGUGCAUGCUCAAGGCGGCACUCUAAAGCUGUCUUGCCAGCUCGAAACCCCGGUCCACGACUAGCUGUCUUUUUCUUGCCUGCCUUGCUUUUCUGCCUUCUCUCUGUGACGCGAGCACACUACAAGGCACAACAACCAAAUCAGCAAGCUAUCCAAUCGGAAGAUGUACUGAAUUUCAAGGCAUAAGUAUAGCUAGCAAGCUAACUGCACAUCGCAAUUGCAUAGAUAAUUGUUAAUGUGAACAAAAGCGCUUGAGUUUUUAUAUCAAUGGCAUGUUGUCGUUUAAAGCACGCCCAAAACUGAAAAGGGCGAGAAACAGUUCAACACAAUAUCUCCACAAUUCAGUAUGACAUAGCUCUCUGUCUUGGCACGUUUUCAGCGGUCAUCUUCAAGCAUGUAGAAUUUAUCUAGCUGCUCAGGCCAGGUACCAAAUUCUAAGCGAAAGCUGAGAGGGGAUAGAGCUUUUUUUCUAUUGCUGGUCCCAAAUGAAGGAAUGAUCUCCCUGUGCACAUUACACAGACCCCCUCAGUGUCCAUUAUUAUUACUUGACUUCCAAUACAGCAUGAGACUGUAUUUGUUUUGGUAUGCUGUUUGUUUUAUGUGAAUCGUGUUAAAUAAAAAAAGAUGUAUUGUUUUGUA
Molecule: long non-coding RNA, 2126 nt
Organism: Hippocampus zosterae (dwarf seahorse)
Lineage: Eukaryota; Metazoa; Chordata; Actinopteri; Syngnathiformes; Syngnathidae
Exons: 2
Source: RefSeq, a predicted model, not a curated record